GACGAACGCUGGCGGCGUGCUUAACACAUGCAAGUCGAACGCUGAAGCUCAGCUUUUGUUGGGUGGAUGAGCGGCGAACGGGUGAGUAACACGUGAGUAACCUGCCCCCUUCUUUGGGAUAACGCCCGGAAACGGGUGCUAAUACUGGAUAUUCACUGGUCUUCGCAUGGGGGUUGGUGGAAAGGGUUUUUCUGGUGGGGGAUGGGCUCGCGGCCUAUCAGCUUGUUGGUGGGGUGAUGGCCUACCAAGACUUUGACGGGUAGCCGGCCUGAGAGGGUGACCGGUCACAUUGGGACUGAGAUACGGCCCAGACUCCUACGGGAGGCAGCAGUGGGGAAUAUUGCACAAUGGGCGCAAGCCUGAUGCAGCGACGCCGCGUGAGGGAUGGAGGCCUUCGGGUUGUGAACCUCUUUCGCUCAUGGUCAAGCCGCAACAAUGGUUGUGGUGAGGGUAGUGGGUAAAGAAGCGCCGGCUAACUACGUG
Molecule: ribosomal RNA, 483 nt
Filed under: uncultured bacterium
Lineage: Bacteria
Description: partial 16S ribosomal RNA
Rfam family: Bacterial small subunit ribosomal RNA
Source: RNAcentral